CAGUCGCCGCGGUAAUACAGAGGUCUCAAGCGUUGUUCGGAUUCAUUGGGCGUAAAGGGUGCGUAGGUGGCUUGGUAAGUUGAAGGUGAAAUCUCGGGGCUUAACUCCGGAACUGCAUCCGAUACUGCCAUGCUAGAGGAUUGGAGAGGUAGCUGGAAUUCUUGGUGUAGCAGUGAAAUGCGUGGAGAUCAAGAGGAACACUCGUGGCGAAAGCGAGCUACUGGACAAUAACUGACGCUGAGGCUCGAAGGCCAGGGUAGCGAAAGGGACUAGAUACCCCGGUAGUCCCUGUCUCUUAUAC
Molecule: ribosomal RNA, 301 nt
Filed under: uncultured bacterium
Lineage: Bacteria
Description: partial 16S ribosomal RNA
Rfam family: Bacterial small subunit ribosomal RNA
Source: RNAcentral